RNAcentral lists this ribosomal RNA (593 nucleotides) under Belvosia sp. Woodley04A. RNAcentral's name for it is "partial ribosomal RNA". The stretch from base 1 to 121 matches the Rfam family "Eukaryotic small subunit ribosomal RNA", at positions 1716 to 1831 of the family's 1831-position model. The record is from RNAcentral. Lineage: Eukaryota; Metazoa; Arthropoda; Insecta; Diptera; Tachinidae.
GUGAUCACUGUAACGCCCUGAGUGUUGCGGAUGUUUCGCAGAAGUUGACCGAACUUGAUUAUUUAGAGGAAGUAAAAGUCGUAACAAGGUUUCCGUAGGUGAACCUGCGGAAGGAUCACUAAAGUUCUCCUUUCAAGUUAUAAACAAAAACACAAUAUAUAAAAUACUUAUAUUGUAAAAUUAUGGCAAAUGCCAAAAAGAAACAAAAUAACAAUAAUAAAAAUGUUUAUUAUUGUAUCGCCUCCUAGGCAAAAAAGUAUAGUAUAAAGUGUUUGUGUGUGUUACACAUUACACAAAAAUUGACUUAUUUAUAUAAAAUUUGUAAAAACUGAAAUUGUGUGGACGUUAUACAAAAUUAAUUUGUAUAGAAAAUGUCUAAAAAUUUGAAAUACAUAAAAUUAUAGUUGUACUUGUAUAAAAUUGAAAAGUAAUUUUUUAUAUAAGUCAAUCAUUGUUCGUUUUUUAAGAACUUGAGACAUUCGCAACAAAAAUUUUAUGUUUUAGUUAUAAAAGAGAAGAAUAAUAAGCAAAAAUUAUUGAAGGAAUUGAUAUAUGCCAAUUUGAAACUUUUUGGUGUAUUUUUGAUUUCUUUC